UGGGGAAUAUUGGACAAUGGGCGAAAGCCUGAUCCAGCAAUGCCGCGUGAGUGAGGAAGGCCUUAGGGUUGUAAAGCUCUUUCGGCGGGGACGAUGAUGACGGUACCCGCAGAAGAAGCCCCGGCUAACUUCGUGCCAGCAGCCGCGGUAAUACGAAGGGGGCGAGCGUUGUUCGGAUUUACUGGGCGUAAAGGGCGCGCAGGCGGCUCCGUUUGUCAGGCGUGAAAGCCCCGGGCUCAACCUGGGAAUGGCGCUUGGGACGGCGGAGCUAGAGUUCGGGAGAGGAGAGUGGAAUUCCCAGUGUAGAGGUGAAAUUCGUAGAUAUUGGGAAGAACACCGGUGGCGAAGGCGGCUCUCUGGACCGAUACUGACGCUGAGGCGCGAAAGCGUGGGGAGCAAACAGGAUUAGAUACCCCCGUAGUCC
This 424-nucleotide ribosomal RNA is filed under the name uncultured bacterium. Its description in RNAcentral is "bacterial SSU rRNA". It matches the Rfam family "Bacterial small subunit ribosomal RNA", at positions 355 to 796 of the family's 1533-position model. The record is from RNAcentral.